UGCAAGUCGAGCGCACCCUUCGGGGCGAGCGGCGGACGGGUUAGUAACGCGUGGGAACGUGCCCUUUUCUAAGGAAUAGCCUCGGGAAACUGAGAGUAAUACCUUAUACGCCCUUCGGGGGAAAGAUUUAUCGGAGAAGGAUCGGCCCGCGUUAGAUUAGAUAGUUGGUGGGGUAACGGCCUACCAAGUCUACGAUCUAUAGCUGGUUUUAGAGGAUGAUCAGCAACACUGGGACUGAGACACGGCCCAGACUCCUACGGGAGGCAGCAGUGGGGAAUCUUGGACAAUGGGCGCAAGCCUGAUCCAGCCAUGCCGCGUGAGUGAUGAGGGCCUUAGGGUCGUAAAGCUCUUUCGCCAGGGAUGAUAAUGACAGUACCUGGUAAAGAAACCCCGGCUAACUCCGUGCCAGCAGCCGCGGUAAUACGGAGGGGGUUAGCGUUGUUCGGAAUUACUGGGCGUAAAGCGUACGUAGGCGGAUCAGAAAGUUGGGGGUGAAAUCCCGGGGCUCAACCCCGGAACUGCCUCCAAAACUCCUGGUCUUGAGUUCGAGAGAGGUGAGUGGAAUUCCGAGUGUAGAGGUGAAAUUCGUAGAUAUUCGGAGGAACACCAGUGGCGAAGGCGGCUCACUGGCUCGAUACUGACGCUGAGGUACGAAAGUGUGGGGAGCAAACAGGAUUAGAUACCCUGGUAGUCCACACCGUAAACGAUGAAUGCCAGACGUCGGGCAGUAUACUGUUCGGUGUCACACCUAACGGAUUAAGCAUUCCGCCUGGGGAGUACGGUCGCAAGAUUAAAACUCAAAGGAUUUGACGGGGGCCCGCACAAGCGGUGGAGCAUGUGGUUUAAUUUCGAGCAACGCGC
Molecule: ribosomal RNA, 861 nt
Filed under: uncultured marine bacterium
Lineage: Bacteria
Description: bacterial SSU rRNA
Rfam family: Bacterial small subunit ribosomal RNA
Source: RNAcentral